UGGGGGAGGAAAAGGGGAAGGAAAACCUUCUGCUUCAAUAAAUGUGAAUAGUUUAAAAGAAAAAUGAAAGAUGGACAUGCAAAGUCAUUCUGAAUGCUGUUUUUAAUCAGAUAUAGUUGUCCAAACAUUUCUUAGUAGUAAAACUACUAAAAUACAGAAUUUCAGUGCCUUGCACAAGCACAAAAGAGAACCCGUGUGUGUACAGAUUCAGAGGGAUUUGGCCUGAUGCCACCUUAAUCCCACUCCUUUGUGCAGGGCCAGCUCCCCGGGGAAUCCAGGCAUUGCAUACAUUCCAACAAACCCCCUGCCUCCCCCCCCCCCAACAUGAAAGAGAUGCUGUGGAUGCCCCAAACUUUGCUGCAGGCCCUCACAUCCCAGCAAAAGGUUUCUGCUAGGCUGGAAAGGAGUCUGUAGGAUGUGUGUGUGUGAGUGCAUACUCAGUGCAAUUUAAGGAAAGGCUUCUAGCACACAUUAGAGUCACAGGCGGAAAUCAAACCAAAUGAGAACACCAGGACAAAAUCAACUGAUUUUUUUUUAAAAGCGAAGCAAAUGGGAAGAUUGUCAGCACCUUCAGGGGCAUUUUGGUGCUAAUCACGUUGGCCACUACAGCACAGCCAACCCACCUAGCAAGCAAAACAAACAGACAAGGGCCAAACCAAAAUAUCCUGAGUCUUAGGAAGUGGCAAGGUCUGGGGGAAAAUCUAUACCCACAGCUACUUGAAAAGGAGGGGCAUUGUGACAGCAUCUCUCUAAUCCCCUGGGUAUACCCACUCCCUUCCCAAACCAUGCCAACUGGGUCUUCCCUGUGGGCUGGGAGUGGGGUGAGGAUGCUGCUAAGCAGCACUGAGGACCCCAGGAUACAUCCUCAGUGGUGCUCAGAGCAGAAUAUAUUAUGUUUUCCUAUGGCAAAAUAUUACUGCUAUUUCUGCUCUGAGAGGAACCCAUGGGAGGUGUCUGGUUUAAUAGGGGCAGAUCCCCAGGGGACGUACAAAGGUUAUUCUGCCUCAUCCCAAGGAAGAAGGUGCUCCAUCCCCGGCACAGCCACUUAGCUGAGGAAUGGUCUCCUGAAAGGGAGGGGCUGAUUGGGAGACAGCACCAUUUGCAUGGGGCUUGAGCAUAGGCCGAAGACUGCAAAACCCACGUGGGGCAGGGCAGGGAAGAGCAGAAAAAGCCAAUUGCGUGAGGAAUUGGCACAAAGGUUACGAAUGUCUGAAAGCCCACAAGGGCAAAUUGGGGAUGCUCAUCUUCAGGGUUAGGCCUAGAUCAGUGGGGCACAUCCCCUUCCCAUUCCUAAGGGCCAGUGCAGAUGCAUUUUUGUACUCCCAACAGGGCUGUGAACUUGUGAGACACUGCUCAGCAGUGAAAUCUUCUGCCCACCACAGACCGUGUGUGCAUGUCCAUGGAGGACAUCUGUGUAAUGCAAUAGAAAUCUGUCUAAUUCUGUGACAAUAUAAACUUUAAUUUUCUGAAAAUAGAACAUUUCUGGGAAGAGCACUUAGGGGUAAUGCUAUUUUCUUAACAUCCAAAGAAGGAAUCCCAAACAUGGGGGCUUUGGGUAAGGAAACAACAACAGCAACAGAGAAACCUCACUAUGGAAGAAAGAAUCUUGCAGAUCCUUCAUGGGAACUUGUUCAGGUAAAGAGGCUUCCUAGAUGGCAAAAGCAGAAACUCAGCAAUGGAAAAGACCAAAGAGGAAGGAAGGUGCUUUGCAGGGUCAUAAUUCACCUGCCCCCCGCCCCGUACAUUCACAAGAAUGAGCGACCCUGGAUUUCUUUUGACAGAUUGUGACAAGGUAAAAAGGCUUCUUAGAGUCUGUCUUCAAGGACGCUUGGAGACCACAGGCAGGGACCCUAAGCUCCUUCACUGAUAUCAUCCAAGUUUAACAUUUGUGGAAAAAUAGGUACACACUUCUGCAACUGAACUUUUGAAAUAAUCGGAGGAAUAUAAACUAUUCAUUUACCCCUUUAUUUACAGAAAGAAAAAACUUAAACUUCCAGCAAGAGAACCCAGCAGGGUUCCUACGCAGACCUGAUACUGACAAGGUGAGACUUCCCUUCUUUUUUCAGUAAAUAGUGAGGGGUGGGGAACCACCCCUCAGAUUAUUUAAAAUUAUUUUAAUGAGGACUGUCUGAUGUUAUUGCUUUAUCCCUCUAGAAAUGGGAUGCUCAUUACUCUGUGUGCUGACAAAACACACGCACAUACAAUCUCACUUAAACAAUAAAAUCUCCUUUGAUCCUAAAAAAGAAAGAAAGAGUAUAUAUCACAUUGUCUUGGCGGAACAGAUGAUCCACAAAGUUAAUACCAGCCAAUCAAAAUUUUCUUAAAAAAUAAUCACUCAAGUUUCCUCUUUCAAUAUGGCAGUAAACAUAAUCUGUUUCUUCCUCUUUCCAUUUCCCAUCCUCAGACAGCAACAAGUCUUUUUGCAAGAGACCAGCCUAUAAGUUCAUCCGCUACAACAUCAUCUCUUUGUUCAUAAGCCAACAAAGAGCAGGUUGGUGUGCCCAAUUCCCCAGCCAGAAGGCCAGUGUGUCAGGCACAGCACCGCCCCCCCGGCAGCUGGAG
Molecule: long non-coding RNA, 2562 nt
Filed under: Podarcis lilfordi (Lilford's wall lizard)
Lineage: Eukaryota; Metazoa; Chordata; Lepidosauria; Squamata; Lacertidae
Source: RNAcentral